Molecule: ribosomal RNA, 200 nt
Filed under: uncultured bacterium
Lineage: Bacteria
Description: partial 16S ribosomal RNA
Rfam family: Bacterial small subunit ribosomal RNA
Source: RNAcentral
AGAGUUUGAUCCUGGCUCAGAGCGAACGCUGGCGGCGUGCCUAACACAUGCAAGUCGAACGUGAAAGGGAGCAAUCCUGAGUAAAGUGGCGUACGGGUGAGUAACGCGUAGGUAAUCUACCCCAGAGUCUGGAAUAACCUGCCGAAAGGCGGGCUAAUACUGGAUAGAGCGAGGGAAUCGGUCAUACGAUUUUUCGGGAA